GGAAUGUUUAAGUUUCCAGCUAUUAUUAUAUUGGGAUGUAUUUCUCUCUUUAGCUGUAAUAAUAUUUGCUUUAUAUAUCUGGGUGUUCCAGUGUUGGUGUAUGUA
Long non-coding RNA from Sapajus apella (tufted capuchin), 105 nucleotides. RefSeq lists it as uncharacterized. The record is from RefSeq and is a predicted model, not a curated record. The transcript has 3 exons. NCBI's taxonomy places the organism in Eukaryota, Metazoa, Chordata, Mammalia, Primates, Cebidae.